UUGAUUUUUGUAGAGCAAUUUUUCUCUCAUCCCUCCCAUGCUUCCCAUUUCCUUUCCAUCCGUUCAGAAACUUUUCCCUUUUCAUAUCUUUUGGCCCUGGUCUUUUGUUAUUUUUGUAGGGAAACCUUUUUCAUCCAAUGGUUAAAUUAAAAAAAUAAUAAUUUGAAAACCAUAAUUUAUGGAAGGGAUUAGUCUGUUUUCAUUUCUAGUUCCAAUGUGAGGACCUCAGGUCCCGCAUAUGUUUCCUUGUAUAGAAGCUUUGAAGAUAGCAGGUACACAAAAGUAGGCUCUGCUUAUUUUUUUCUUAAAGCAAGAUUGCAGCCAGUGACCUUUUUGAUAUAUUGUUUUUAUUAUUAUUCACUCUAUUUUUAAUAUUUCUGACAGAUCUUUUGUGAUCAUUUACAAGAUAGGAGCAAUAUUGGAAGGUAGGGGUUAUUUUUUUCCAGUUGAGGUUUUAGGCCAGAAUGCCCAUAAGCUGAGCCAUCAGAUAUAUCUCUUUCUUCUAAUGCAACAACUAAGGUUAGAAAUUUCCACAACCAAUGAACAUACUCUUCAGAGAGAAGCAAUUAUUUAGAGUGACUACUAUGGAAAGGUGGCUGAAGUACUGAUUCUUGCUGGAGUAUGUGGAACUGAUCCUUUCCACUGAAUGGAUUACUUUUGAACCUGUUGGAGGCAAUUGGAUUUGUUGGUACGCAAAACUUUCCAAAUGAUGGGCUUAUUGAUGGUAAUGUCAGACAAAAUCAGGAAGAGACAGGGAUUUUUUGAAUUUGUUUUUGGUGCCAAAUUCCAGAUUUUUGAAUUUGGAAGUUUCUAGAAGACCAAUGAGAUGUUGCCAAGUGUCCACUUAACCUUGGCCUAUAAAUAGGAACUUGAAUUUCUUAGUGAGGACUUUUGACACUUGAUUUUGAAAUUUUCUAAAAACUCUUUCUUUUUCAAUAGAAUUCCCUAUUUUCUUUCAUUUUUCCUCAUUUUCUUGGUAUCCAAACAUGUCUCGUGAGACCAAAUCUUCAAGUAUGAGUGACUAAAUGUCGUUUUUCUUGAAGGAAGGAAGAUUUAGAGGUAAGAUUUAUAGUGAAUUAGAGAAAUGAAG
Molecule: long non-coding RNA, 1090 nt
Organism: Vitis vinifera (wine grape)
Lineage: Eukaryota; Viridiplantae; Streptophyta; Magnoliopsida; Vitales; Vitaceae
Exons: 2
Source: RefSeq, a predicted model, not a curated record